AGUGAACGCUGGCGGUAGGCCUAACAUAUGCAAGUCGAACGGCAGCACAGUAAGAGCUUGCUCUUACGGGUGGCGAGUGGCGGACGGGUGAGGAAUACAUCGGAAUCUACUUUUUCGUGGGGGAUAACGUAGGGAAACUUACGAUAAUACCGCAUACGACCUACGGGUGAAAGCAGGGGAUCUUCGGACCUUGCGCGAUUGAAUGAGCCGAUGUCGGAUUAUCUAGUUGGCGGGGUAAAGGCCCACCAAGGCGACGAUCCGUAGGUGGGCUGAGAGGACGAUUAGGGACACUGGAAAUGAGAAACGUUCCAGACAACUGAAAGAGACUACAGUGGGGAAUAUUAGACAGUGGGCGGAAUCCUGUACCAGCCAUAGCGCGUGGGUGAAGAAGGCCUUCGUGUUGUAUAGACCUUUUGUUGGGAAAGAAAAGCAUCAGGUUAAUACCCCGCUGUUCUGACGGUACCCAAAGAACAAGCUACGGCUAACUUCGGG
This 492-nucleotide ribosomal RNA is filed under the name uncultured bacterium. Its description in RNAcentral is "partial 16S ribosomal RNA". It matches the Rfam family "Bacterial small subunit ribosomal RNA", at positions 29 to 507 of the family's 1533-position model. The record is from RNAcentral.